GAGUCCUCAGGAGAGUUCUCCGUUAGGAGUGUUUACAAAUUUUUACAGACAAGUAUUCCUACUCCUAUCCUAGAUGAAUUACAAAAUGCAUCUAGAGAAUUUUACAAGCAACUUUGGGGCUUAAACCUACCCUUUAAAAUCAAGAUUACAAUAUGGCGUAUUUCAAAAAAUUCAUCCCUAUGCUAUCAAAUAUGCAUUACAAAAGACUAGUUGCCAAUAUGAUGUGUCCAAUAUGUUGGAAGGGUGCUGAAACUAUGAAUCAUGUUUUUAGGAGUUGUCCUAUUACAAAGGAGAUAAGGGGGUUAGUUGGUUUUCCUGGGAUCUUAUUAAAUUCAAUACAGGACAUGUCCGAGUAGUUUACUUGGGUUUUCAACAACUGCUCAGUACUUCAACGCGUAUCAUUCUAUUGUGGUCUGUGGGUCUUGUGGACUGUAAGAAACAAAUUUAUGCAUGAACAUUCUGCUCGGAGACGUGGCUAGGGGCUGGCAGGGCUCGGCCCUCUAAAAUGAAAAAUUCUUAUUUAAGUUUUUUAAAAAUUUUAAAAUUUUAAAUUAAUAAAAAUAAUUUUAUAUUUUAACUUUUAAAAUUAUAAAAAUUCGAUUUAAUCCUUUAAAAAUUAUAAAUAUAUAGAUUAUAAAAAAUUAAAUUAAAAUUUCAUUCUUCCCCUUAAAAUUAUUCUGGCUUUGCUCCUGAUUCUGCUAAAUCGGCGGUUGACAUAUCAAGGUUCAUUCAAUGAUACAUGAAAGAAAUAGAAGGCGUCAAGGAAAAGGGGGUUAUCAGGAAGGUGAUCUAUGCAAAAUGGAAGCCCCCUUUGGGAAUAUGCAUCAAACUUAAUUUUGACGCAGCCUUUGAUAAGGAUUUUUUUCAAAUCUGGGACGGGGAUUGUAGCCAGAAAUGCGCAAGGGCAGGUGAUUGCAUCACGUUCAAUACUCCACUCAAACGUGGGCUCAGCAUUUGUAGCAGAAGCCCUCGCAUGUUCAUAGACAGUUAAAACGGGGUUAGAGUUGGGGGUUACAGAGGCAAUUAUCGAAGACGAUUCUCUAACGGUUAUCAAGAAAUGCAACAAUAUGUCCCAAGAUAAGUCUGAAAUACGAGCUCACAUCCAUAAUAUACAGUAUCACAGUAGCAGAUUUCUCUCCAUACAGUUUAAACAUGCAAAUCGUGAAGGUAAUCAACUCGCACACAGAUUAACAGGUUGAAAGUUUGAGAAAUGGAGAGGAGUUUUACCUGGAAGGAGCGGUCCCGGGAUUCGCAAGGAGAACGAUGGAGGACGAGUGGAUUCGUGAACCAGAUUGAAGGAACAAUAGGGAAGUGCUUCGAUCCCUAAGGAGCAGAAAGGAGAAAAAUCAUUUCUGUGAAAAUGCAAAUAUGGAAGGGAUGGGGAAGAGGUAAGUGAUUUUGUUUUGCAAUGAUGACAAUAGAUGGGACGGGUAGGAUUCCCGAGGAAUGGGCUGACUCAUGUUUAUUUUUUAAAUUCUAUUUUAUUUUCUUUUAAUGUUUUAAUUAUUUUGCUUUGGGCGGGUGAGUGCUAAGGCUCCUAGUGGAUUUUGAUGUAUACUUUGGUUUCA
Molecule: long non-coding RNA, 1568 nt
Filed under: Gossypium barbadense (sea-island cotton)
Lineage: Eukaryota; Viridiplantae; Streptophyta; Magnoliopsida; Malvales; Malvaceae
Description: long non-coding RNA (GBAR_LNC006359)
Source: RNAcentral